CAAGUGACCCCGGUCUAACCACCGGGAUGUUCAUAACCCUUUGUUGUCCGACUCUGUUGCCUCCGGGGCGACCCUGCCUUCGGGCGGGGGCUCCGGGUGGACACUUCAAACUCUUGCGUAACUUUGCAGUCUGAGUAAACUUAAUUAAUAAAUUA
Molecule: unclassified non-coding RNA, 155 nt
Filed under: uncultured fungus
Lineage: Eukaryota; Fungi
Also listed under: 2 other names
Description: sequence contains ITS1, 5.8S rRNA gene
Source: RNAcentral